RNAcentral lists this ribosomal RNA (540 nucleotides) under uncultured bacterium. RNAcentral describes it as "bacterial SSU rRNA". It matches the Rfam family "Bacterial small subunit ribosomal RNA", at positions 355 to 896 of the family's 1533-position model. The record is from RNAcentral.
UGAGGAAUAUUGGUCAAUGGACGGAAGUCUGAACCAGCCAAGUAGCGUGCAGGAUGACGGCCCUCCGGGUUGUAAACUGCUUUUAGUUGGGAAUAAAAAAAGGGACGUGUCCCUUAUUGUAUGUACCUUCAGAAAAAGGACCGGCUAAUUCCGUGCCAGCAGCCGCGGUAAUACGGAAGGUCCAGGCGUUAUCCGGAUUUAUUGGGUUUAAAGGGAGCGUAGGCGGAUUGUUAAGUCAGCGGUUAAAGGGUGUGGCUCAACCAUACAUUGCCGUUGAAACUGGCGAUCUUGAGUGCAGACAGGGAUGCCGGAAUUCGUGGUGUAGCGGUGAAAUGCUUAGAUAUCACGAAGAACUCCGAUCGCGAAGGCAGGUGUCUGGGCUGCAACUGACGCUGAGGCUCGAAAGUGUGGGUAUCAAACAGGAUUAGAUACCCUGGUAGUCCACACAGUAAACGAUGUAUACUCGCGGUUUGCGAUAGAGUGUAAGCCGCCAAGCGAAAGCAUUAAGUAUACCACCUGGGGAGUACGCCGGCAACGGUG